UACAGAGGGGGCAAGCGUUGUUCGGAAUUACUGGGCGUAAAGGGCGCGUAGGCGGCCUGCUAAGUCGAACGUGAAAUCCCCGGGCUCAACCCGGGAACUGCGUCCGAUACUGGUUGGCUUGAAUUCGGGAGAGGGAUGCGGAAUUCCAGGUGUAGCGGUGAAAUGCGUAGAUAUCUGGAGGAACACCGGUGGCGAAGGCGGGUCUCUGGGCCGAUACUGACGCUGAGGAGCGAAAGCGUGGGGAGCGAACAGG
RNAcentral lists this ribosomal RNA (253 nucleotides) under uncultured bacterium. Its description in RNAcentral is "partial 16S ribosomal RNA". It matches the Rfam family "Bacterial small subunit ribosomal RNA", at positions 524 to 776 of the family's 1533-position model. The record is from RNAcentral.